CAUAACUGGGUUCUGUUUUUGGCAUACCACCCCAUUGUUUGGGGUCCACUCACAGCCCUUCCUUUAUGGUUAUUACCACAUUUGGGACACAGUGCACCUUAUGUACACUUCACGGUCACAACCCUACUAUCCCUUGCCCUACACCUUUAGACAAUUUUUCAUGUUUAAUAUAUAUAUUUAAUAUUUUUUAUUUAUCAUCUUUUCAUAUUUUUGUAUUACAACUGUUCACGAUAUAGCUAUUAUCAGCUUCUACAAUUUUUAAUUUUCACAGAUCAUCAUACUUAUGUUAAGGCACAUUAACUUCCAUGUAUCCAUGAGGCCGCCAUCUUGGACAUCUAGCUUUAUACUGGAUCAUUUUCCAUCCUUGUGGUGGGGUUGGCCCACCUCAGCUCCCGUGGGCUGUUACCUUCCCGGCUACGUUUCUGCCCUCCUAGUCUGUACCUUCGGUUUUGACAUACCCACAUCUACCUCAUACUCUGCUCCUGAGGAGUGGCACUAGCCACGAAACGCGUUGAGCCAAUAGACGCCCCCCCUCUCAUUCGUUGCCAUUACACCUUUACCAACGUUCUACAGAUCGAUUGUAUUUUAUAUACUUCUCAACUAUGGGUGUUAUUACUAUGGAGGAGCCACCAGAUGCCCCCCCCCCCCAUGCCCGUUGCUAAUGUACUAAUUAUUAUCAUACACAUCGUCUAUAUGAUCGAUUGUGGUCACUAUUACUGUGGAGUUAUUCCAACGAAUUUGAUCUCAUUUAAUGUUUAUACUAUGCAUUAACUUUUAUUGUUAGGAGCCAUUAGAAGCCCCUCUGGUUUAUAUAUGAUAUCUUUUACCAACUAAUUUCCUCUCUACACCAGUGGAGUGUACCAACGUAUCAAUAUUCAUUUAUCAUGGAGAUACUUUCCAGUGAUUUGGCCUCUUUUGAUAUCGUUUCCAGCAUGAACCUAUUAUAUUUAUUUAUUCCUACCAUUGUUACCAUGAACUGUUGAAAUGUAUGCAAUUUUCUUUGAUUAUUGUAACGGAUCUACCAUGCUACUAUUGUAUCUACUGUAUAUAUAAUUUUUAUACUAUUAAAUAACUGACUGUU
Rana temporaria (common frog) is the source of this 1081-nucleotide long non-coding RNA. RefSeq lists it as uncharacterized. NCBI's taxonomy places the organism in Eukaryota, Metazoa, Chordata, Amphibia, Anura, Ranidae. The transcript has 2 exons. The record is from RefSeq and is a predicted model, not a curated record.